This 345-nucleotide unclassified non-coding RNA is filed under the name soil metagenome. RNAcentral's name for it is "partial contains 5.8S ribosomal RNA, internal transcribed spacer 2, and large subunit ribosomal RNA". The stretch from base 1 to 119 matches the Rfam family "5.8S ribosomal RNA", at positions 35 to 154 of the family's 154-position model. The record is from RNAcentral.
GAUGAAGAACGCAGCGAAAUGCGAUACGUAAUGUGAAUUGCAAAUUCAGUGAAUCAUCGAGUCUUUGAACGCACAUUGCGCCCCCUGGUAUUCCGGGGGGCAUGCCUGUCCGAGCGUCAUUGCUGCCCUCAAGCACGGCUUGUGUGUUGGGCCCCGUCCUCCGAUCCCGGGGGACGGGCCCGAAAGGCAGCGGCGGCACCGCGUCCGGUCCUCGAGCGUAUGGGGCUUUGUCACCCCCUCUGUAGGCCCGGCCGGCGCUUGCCGAUCAACCCAAAUUUUUAUCCAGGUUGACCUCGGAUCAGGUAGGGAUACCCGCUGAACUUAAGCAUAUCAAUAAGCGGAGGA